GAUGAACGCUGGCGGCGUGCUUAACACAUGCAAGUCGAACGAAGCGCAUUGUUUGAAUUCUUCGGAAGGAAGAUAAUGUGACUGAGUGGCGGACGGGUGAGUAACGCGUGGGCAACCUGCCAUGUACAGGGGGACAACAGUUGGAAACGGCUGCUAAUACCGCAUAAGCGCACGAGAUUGCAUGAUCUAGUGUGAAAAACUCCGGUGGUAUAUGAUGGACCCGCGUCUGAUUAGCUAGUUGGUAAGGUAACGGCUUACCAAGGCGACGAAUCAGUAGCCGACCUGAGAGGGUGACCGGCCACAUUGGGACUGAGACACGGCCCAG
Molecule: ribosomal RNA, 325 nt
Filed under: uncultured bacterium
Lineage: Bacteria
Description: bacterial SSU rRNA
Rfam family: Bacterial small subunit ribosomal RNA
Source: RNAcentral